This is a long non-coding RNA of Lathyrus oleraceus (garden pea), 1941 nucleotides long. RefSeq lists it as uncharacterized. The record is from RefSeq and is a predicted model, not a curated record. Lineage: Eukaryota; Viridiplantae; Streptophyta; Magnoliopsida; Fabales; Fabaceae. The transcript has 6 exons.
CAAAAUGCCUCCAUGCGCGCGCUCAGCCUCACUGUUGUUCACCUUGGCUCGCCGCACCGACGUCCGUCACCGUUGCCGGUGUUGGAUUAUACAUAACCACCACCACCAUUGGAUGCGCCGUGACAAGCUAAUCACGAACAUGGGACUGGAAUAGGCAAAUAAUCACAACUUUGGUUGAAUUGAACCUAAGCAGAGAGGAACCCUAACAUUCGAAACUCAAAUUAAAUGGUGUAUGUCUCAGACCAAUCCCUACAACUAUGGGGCUUCUACUUCCUAUCAUGGAUACUACACCUUGGCAUGCUCAGAGCAAGUAAAUGAUGCAAAAUGAAAAAUGACAUACCGGAGAAGAUGAUCGGAGAAUUCGCCGGUUGAUCAAUUGCUUGGUUAUGAACUUUGCACUUCUAAUGGACAGGUACUGUUAUGCCUGUGCUCUGGUUCAAAGCUUCAUUGAUGUGAUAGGAGAAUGCAUUGUUGUUUAUUAGCUAUACAUUGCAGGGUGUUUUGUAAGCCAUUACAAGUCUAGGUUUUCCACUGUCUGCACCAGCCCAUUGGUCGUAAUUUCUGCUCAUGGCUUUGCUACACUACCAAUGAUGCUGGUUGCAGGUCUUGUGUUAUGGUUGAGUUGCAGGAACUGCAUGGUUUAGCUUGAGUUUGAAAUAGGUUUUGGGUUUGGCUCGAUGCAAGUUGGUACAGUCAUGGUGUUGCAAGGCAAUCUCAUGAUCUUGUUGUUGUAGAACUGCUUCUGCAUUGCUAGGUUUUGCUCAUCUGUCAAACAGUUAUGGUAUCACUGAAGUAGGGAGAUUAUGGAAGCAGGAAGCGCCAAGUGAAUGCUCACAACUGGUCAUUGCAGGAUGCUGUGAAAUGCUGCUAAUUCCAGGCCAAAGUGUAGCAAUGUCAAAUGUGUCCACUGCAGGUUUUUAUGGGGAGUUUUCAUGUGACAUUAAAUGCUGGAAAUACCCAAAUGGAAUUUCUCAUGCAACCAUGGUACCCAAGAUGCAUUCCACACUGGUCCCCUUCAUUCUCCUGUUCAGCUUUAAGAAUUCAAUCAAAGCCCUAACAACAUUGCUACUAACAUGUGAUGGUUUUCGUGUGAUCCAAGGUCUGUGAGGUUUUUGUUUGGCUAGUGCAAGGAUGAUGCUUUUGAAUUUCCCUUAUAGGGUUCUUGACCAAUGUUUCUGACUUGGUGAUUUGUCUCAUCUACUGUCUUUUGAUUGCUACAUCCUUCAUGCUUUGUUGAUGUUGGAUGACCAAGGAUGUUGGUCAGAGUUGGUGUGUAGUCAUUGAAUAUCUUGUGUUGCCCUGGUAUGUGAUUUUUGUUGCUAGGUUUAGGCAUUUGGGUGCAUAUUGCAUGAUGGCCAUAAUGUGCUGUAGGUAUGUGUUGUGGUUUUUACAGGAAGCUUGACUCAUGUUGAUGCAAGUUUACAUAGUUAGAUCUGGCUGCAAUUAUGACUUGUUAGGCAUGGAUUUGGUAAGAUUGUGGAUGCUGCAAGUCCCUGUAAUACUACGUGUUUGCUGCAGGAUUUGGUGUUCCUUGUUUCUCAUGCCUUACGGGUCGUAUUUGCUCAUGUUUGGACUGCAAGUUGAUGUCCAAUGUGGUGGCUUGGUCAGGAUGUGGUCUGCUGCAGGUUCAGGUCAUGUGUGCAUGAAAGAAAAAACAGGAAGUGUAUUGCCAUAUCUCACCAUGGAUUUUGAAACAAACAAGUGCAAGGUGCAAGUCUAAUAUUGUCAUGGCUUUGGAAGAUUAGACUAGAAUGGGAAAUUUUAGGGUUUUAGGAUGAGAAUUUAAGGUAUUAGGGAUUUGGAUUGACUUUGGUCAAAGUUGACCAAAAAGUCAACUAUUGACCAAAGUCAACAUUUGGUCAAAAGUUGCCAAGACUUGUAAUUUUUCAUGUAAUGAUCAAUGUGAUGGUUUAUAUAUGGAUAUUUGGAUGUUAAAUGGUU